This 475-nucleotide ribosomal RNA is filed under the name uncultured bacterium. RNAcentral describes it as "bacterial SSU rRNA". It matches the Rfam family "Bacterial small subunit ribosomal RNA", at positions 28 to 518 of the family's 1533-position model. The record is from RNAcentral.
GACGAACGCUGGCGGCGUGCCUAACACAUGCAAGUCGAACGGAGAUAUGAUUUCGGUUGUAUCUUAGUGGCGAACGGGUGAGUAACGCGUGAGCAACCUGACUCUUAGAGGGGGAUAACACCCGGAAACGAGUGCUAAUACCGCAUAAGACCACGACAUGGCAUCAUGACGAGGUCAAAGGAGCAAUCCGCUGAGAGAGGGGCUCGCGUCCCAUUAGAUAGAUGGCGGGGUAAUGGCCCACCAUGUCAGCGAUGGGUAGCCGAGCUGAGAGGCUGAUCGGCCACACUGGAACUGAGACACGGUCCAGACUCCUACGGGAGGCAGCAGUGGGGAAUAUUGGGCAAUGGGCGCAAGCCUGACCCAGCAACGCCGCGUGAGGGAUGAAGGCCUCGGUUGUAACUACUUCUAGCAGGAAGAAGCGAAAGUGACGGUACCUGCAGAAGAAGCACCGGCUAACUACGUGCCAGCAGCCGAC